AUGACAAUUACGUGGUGACAUUAUUUGAGUGGCAACGAUAGAAUAUACUAGAUUGAACAUGGAAUUAUUUAGUAACAAUUUCUGGUAACACUACGUUUGGAAAAGCUUUUUUAUCAUCAUGGCAGACACGGAGCCCUCGCGCAGCUGCCCCGCUUGUCUCGUCCAGGAUCUGCGCCGGAUUGGAGCAUCGUCUGUGCUUGCAUUGUUGAAUGAACAAUGCAAGCAUAUUGCACUUGCCCGUAGGUGAUAGUGUGAGGCAGCAAGUCAUCUGGCUGCGUGUAGUGGCGUGUGUGGUGACAUCGUGAUGUGUGAGGCAGUGAAUCUUCUGCCCCCAGGUAAGUUGCUGCAUGUGGUGGUGCUUGUGGUGAUAUUGUGAGUACGUCAUUUGCAUCUUGUGUGUAGGCUGUAUUCGCUAACGUUGUCGUUCUUUUCUUCUAGGUCGCCGUAUCUGAGAGUGAGCAAGCGUGCUGCACUUGCCCGUUGGUGGAUUUGUGAGGCAGCAAGUCAUCUGCCCCCAGGUUAGUUGCUGCGUGGAGUGGUGCGUGCGGUGAGCAUCGUCGCCGUCUGUGUUGGUGAGCUGGGCACUGUACCACAAGUGCUUCGUGGGACAGUGUAGAUGCGUCAGUUUUGUUUGUGAGUGAAUCGCGGAAUCAAUUGCCGAUGGCCUUUUUUGUUGUCAAGCGAGAAGUGUGUUGCUCCAUCUAUAGCCAAAAUGUAACAGGACAAUCGGAGAUGACUGGAGAGAUGCUUCUUUGGAUGGCUGGAGUAUUGGGUGCUAAUAACCGCGCAUACGAGAGUGGCAGUGCCACAUUUUCUGUGCGAUUAUGGAUUGAUUGCAGCAUACGUCUUGGAUUCUGACACUUUUAAGGUAAUUGGAUUGGCUGUAGUUGUAGUAUUGAUUAUCAUCUUAAUGUGGUUUUCUUUUCUUUUCAUGCAUGGCUUCUUUUGUUUCAUUUUGUUGCUGAGCGUCGCUGGCAUUCCAGAAUGCGAUUUUAAAAGAGUCGCCAUUCUGGUUGCCAGUACGAGAUGCAAUUGUGCGAUUGGUUGGGGCUGGAUUUGGAUAUCUUCUUUCUGGAUUGCGCCUACUCAUAUUGUGUUUUGAAAUCGUCUAGAAGAUUUUGCAGCUCCAUAGAGAUGUCUGCACUUUCAUCUGAGACCUGGAGCUGUACUGGUGAUGUUUGUAUUUGUUGAGCGAUUUUGUUUCCUUUGUGCAUUGAAAUAAAAUCGGAUAUAAUAUUGAACAAAUAA
Molecule: long non-coding RNA, 1248 nt
Organism: Drosophila albomicans
Lineage: Eukaryota; Metazoa; Arthropoda; Insecta; Diptera; Drosophilidae
Exons: 5
Source: RefSeq, a predicted model, not a curated record